This 96-nucleotide ribosomal RNA is filed under the name uncultured bacterium. Its description in RNAcentral is "partial 16S ribosomal RNA". It matches the Rfam family "Bacterial small subunit ribosomal RNA", at positions 397 to 508 of the family's 1533-position model. The record is from RNAcentral.
CCGCGUGGAGGUAGAAGGCCCACGGGUCGUAAACUUCUUUUCCCGGAGAAGAAGCAAUGACGUUAUCUGGGGAAUAAGCAUCGGCUAACUCUGUGC